Molecule: ribosomal RNA, 119 nt
Filed under: Lupinus angustifolius (narrow-leaved blue lupine)
Lineage: Eukaryota; Viridiplantae; Streptophyta; Magnoliopsida; Fabales; Fabaceae
Source: RNAcentral
AGAUGUGAUCAUACCAACACUAAUGCACCGGAUCUCAUCAGAUCUACGCAGAUAAGCAUGCUUGGGCGAGAGUAGUACUAGGAUGGAUGACCUCCUGGGAAGUCCUAGUGUUGCACCUC